UUGACCUCGGAUCAGGUAGGAAUACCCGCUGAACUUAAGCAUAUCAAUAAGGCGGAGGAAA
Molecule: ribosomal RNA, 61 nt
Filed under: Fusarium graminearum
Lineage: Eukaryota; Fungi; Ascomycota; Sordariomycetes; Hypocreales; Nectriaceae
Also listed under: 2 other names
Description: partial 28S ribosomal RNA
Rfam family: Eukaryotic large subunit ribosomal RNA
Source: RNAcentral